Long non-coding RNA from Lonchura striata (white-rumped munia), 2631 nucleotides. Lineage: Eukaryota; Metazoa; Chordata; Aves; Passeriformes; Estrildidae. The record is from Ensembl.
GUGCGCGCGGCGGCCGCGCUGCGCCGCGACAUGGCGGGCUCGGACCGCGGCAACGAGCGGCUGAACGGCGGCUUCAACGCGCGGCUGAUGGCCGUGAGUGCCGGCCUGUCACCGUCUGUNGUAUAACCCAGUAUAUCCCAAUACAUCCCAGUAUAUCCCAGUAUAUCCCAGUCCACCCUAGUAUAACCCAGUAUAACCCAGUAUAACCCAGUAUAUCCCAGUCCACCCCAGUCCACCCAGUACACCCAGUACAUUCCAGUAUAACCCGUACAUCCCAGUACAUCCCAGUACACCCCAGUAUAACCAGUAUAACCCAGUAUAGCCAGUCCACCCCAGUACAUCCCAGUCCACCCCAGUACAUCCCAGUCCAUCCCAGUAUAACCCAGUAUACCCAGUCCAUCCCAGUACACCCCAGUAUAUCCCAGUACAUCCCAGUAUAACCCGUACAUCCCAGUCCACCCAGUCCACCCCAGUACACACAGUCCACCCCAGUAUUCCCAGUCCAUCCCAGUCCAUCCCAGUCCACCCAGUCCACCCCAGUCCACCCCAGUCCAUCCCAGUCCACCCCAGUCCAUCCUAGUCCACCCAGUCCAUCCCAGUCCACCCCAGUCCAUCCUAGUCCACCCCAGUAUUCCCAGUACGCCCAGUCCAUCCCAGUCCACCCAGUCCAUCCCAGUCCAUCCCAGUCCACCCCAGUAUUCCCAGUAUUCCCAGUCCAUCCCAGUCCACCCCAGUCCAUCCCAGUCCACCCCAGCAUUCCCAGUCCACCCCAGUAUUCCCAGUCCAUCCCAGUCCACCCCAGUCCAUCCCAGUAUUUCCAGUAUUCCCAGUCCAUCCCAGUCCAUCCCAGUCCACCCCAGUAUUCCCAGUAUUCCCAGUAUUCCCAGUUCAUCCCAGUCCAUCCCAGUAUUCCCAGUAUUCCCAGUAUUCCCAGUCCAUCCCAGUCCAUCCCAGUCCACCCCAGUCCAUCCCAGUAUUCCCAGUAUUCCCAGUCCAUCCCAGUCCAUCCCAGUCCACCCCAGUCCACCCCAGUAUUCCCAGUAUUCCCAGUAUUCCCAGUAUUCCCAGUAUUCCCAGUCCACCCCAGUCCAUCCCAGUCCACCCCAGUCCAUCCCAGUCCACCCCAGUAUUCCCAGUAUUCCCAGUAUUCCCAGUAUUCCCAGUAUUCCCAGUCCAUCCCAGUAUUCCCAGUCCAUCCCAGUCCACCCCAGUAUUCCCAGUCCACCCCAGUAUUCCCAGUAUUCCCAGUAUUCCCAGUAUUCCCAGUCCACCCAGUGCAGCCCCCGCCGCCCGCAGGCGCGCGGCCUCUCGCUGCAGUGCCUCUCCUCGGCCAGAGGGGGCGUGGUGCGCGCGGCGGCCGCGCUGCGCCGCGACAUGGCGGGCUCGGACCGCGGCAACGAGCGGCUGAACGGCGGCUUCAACGCGCGGCUGAUGGCCGCCGAGGCGUCCCUGCUGUCCCCGUUCGUGUCCCCUCUGGUGUCCCCGUUCCGCCACGUCCUGCUGGGCCGGGGCGGCCACACGCUNNNNNCUGUCCCUGUCCCUCUGUCCCUGUCCCCAUCCCUGUCCCUCUGUCCCUGUCCCCGUGUCCCUGUCCCCAUCCAUGUCCCUGUCCCUGUCCCCAUCCCCAUGUCCCUGUCCCUGUCCCUCUGUCCCUGUCCCCGUGUCCCCAUCCCCGUGUCCCUGUCCUCAUCCUUGUCCCUCUGUCCCUGUUCCUGUCCCUCUGUCCCCGUCCCUGUGUCCCCAUCCCUGUGUCCCUGUCCCUCUGUCCCUGUCCCUGUCCCUGUCCCCAUCCCUGUCCCUCUGUCCCUGUCCCCAUCCCUGUCCCCAUCCCUCUGACCCUGUCCCUGCCCCCUCCCCGUGUCCCUGUCCCUGACCCCAUCCCUGUCCCUGUCCUCAUCCUCGUGUCAUUGUCCCUGUCCCCAUCCCUGUCCCUGUCCCCAUCCCCGUGUCAUUGUCCCUGUCCCCAUCCCCGUGUCAUUGUCCCUGUCCCCAUCCCCGUGUCCCCGUCCCUGUCCCUCUGUCCCUGUCCCUCUGUCCCUGUCCCCAUCCCUCUGACCCUGUCCCUGUCCCCAUCCCCGUGUCCCCGUCCCUGUCCCCAUCCCUGUCCCUCUGUCCCUGUCCCCAUCCCCGUGUCCCCUCACCCCGUCCCUGUGUCCCCAGGCCGAGGCGUCCCUGCUGUCCCCGUUCGUGUCCCCUCUGGUGUCCCCGUUCCGCCACGUCCUGCUGGGCCGGGGCGGCCACACGCUGCCGGCGCUGGUGGCCGAGCUGGGCGCGGCGGCGACGCGCGGCGACAGCGGCGACAAAAGGGGGGACAGCGGCGACAACGGCGACAAAAGGGGGGACAGCGGCGACAACGGUGACAAAAGGGGGGACAGCGGCGACAGCGGCGACAAAAGGGGGGACAGCGGCGACAGCGGCGACAGCGGCAGUGGCAGCGGCCGCCUGCGGGUGGCGCUCCUGGCCUGGACCCUGCGCGGCACCGCGGGGGCGCUGGCCGGGGACAGCGGCGACCUCGGGGACAUGGGCGGGGCCGGGGACAGCGGCGGCUGCGGCCACCUCGGCGACAUCGGCGGCGACAGCCCCGGUGGCCCUGGGGACCUCGGGGACAUUGGGGACACUGGAGACACUGGG